Hipposideros armiger (great roundleaf bat) is the source of this 222-nucleotide long non-coding RNA. RefSeq lists it as uncharacterized. The record is from RefSeq and is a predicted model, not a curated record. The transcript is spliced from 3 exons. NCBI's taxonomy places the organism in Eukaryota, Metazoa, Chordata, Mammalia, Chiroptera, Hipposideridae.
UUUUUCAGGAACCACUGGCAUGAAAGGAGACAUAGGGGUCAUGGGACCUCCUGGAGCCAAGGGCAGUCAAGGUGACUCGGGGAAACCAGGCCCCCCAGGUGUGUCUGGAAUUCCUGGAAUGAAAGGAGAUCAAGGACAACCUGGAGUGGAGGGUCUUCGAGGCAUUCCAGGUCUGCCAGGCACCCCAGGUGCCAAGGGUGAGCCUGGCCGCNGCUCCAGGGG